This 253-nucleotide ribosomal RNA is filed under the name uncultured bacterium. RNAcentral's name for it is "partial 16S ribosomal RNA". It matches the Rfam family "Bacterial small subunit ribosomal RNA", at positions 524 to 776 of the family's 1533-position model. The record is from RNAcentral.
UACGUAGGGGGCUAGCGUUGUCCGGAAUCAUUGGGCGUAAAGCGCACGUAGGCGGCUUUGUAAGUUAGAGGUGAAAGCCCGGGGCUCAACCCCGGAAUUGCCUUUAAGACUGCAUCGCUUGAAUCCGGGAGAGGUGAGUGGAAUUCCGAGUGUAGAGGUGAAAUUCGUAGAUAUUCGGAAGAACACCAGUGGCGAAGGCGGCUCACUGGACUGGUAUUGACGCUGAGGUGCGAAAGCGUGGGGAGCAAACAGG